RNAcentral lists this ribosomal RNA (253 nucleotides) under uncultured bacterium. Its description in RNAcentral is "partial 16S ribosomal RNA". It matches the Rfam family "Bacterial small subunit ribosomal RNA", at positions 524 to 776 of the family's 1533-position model. The record is from RNAcentral.
UACAGAGGUCCCGAGCGUUGUUCGGAUUCACUGGGCGUAAAGGGUGCGUAGGUGGUGAGGUAAGUCGGAUGUGAAAUCUCCGGGCUCAACCCGGAAAUGGCAUUGGGAACUACCUUGCUUGAGGAUUUGAGGGGGGAUUGGAAUACUUGGUGUAGCAGUGAAAUGCGUAGAUAUCAAGUGGAACACCAGUGGCGAAGGCGAAUCCCUGGAAAAUACCUGACACUGAGGCACGAAAGCUAGGGGAGCAAACAGG